GCCUAAAGCGUCCGUAGCCUGUUCUAUAAGUUUCCGGUUAAAUCCAUUAGCUCAACUAAUGGGCCGCCGAAAAUACUGUAGAACUAGGGAGUGGGAGAGGUAGACGGUAUUCGGUAGGAAGGGGUAAAAUCCUUUGAUCUAUUGAGGACCACCUGUGGCGAAGGCGGUCUACCAGAACACGUUCGACGGUGAGGGAUGAAAGCUGGGGGAGCAAACCGGAUUAGAUACCCGGGUAGUCCCAGCUGUAAACGAUGCAGACUCGGUGAUGCCCUGGCUUGUGGCCAGUGCAGUGCCGCAGGGAAGCCGUUAAGUUUGCCGCCUGGGAAGUACGUACGCAAGUAUGAAACUUAAAGGAAUUGGCGGGGGAGCACCACAAGGGGUGAAGCCUGCGGUUCAAUUGGAGUCAACGCCAGAAAUCUUACCCGAAGAGACAGCAGAAUGAAGGUCAAGCUGGAGACUUUACCAGACAAGCUGAGAAGUGGUGCAUGGCCGUCGCCAGCUCGUGCCGUGAGAUGUCCUGUUAAGUCAGGUAACGAGCGAGAUCCCUGCCUCUAGUUGCCACCAUUACUCUCAGGAGUAGUGGGGCGAAUUAGCGGGACCGCCGCAGUUAAUGCGGAGGAAGGAAGGGGCCACGGCAGGUCAGUAUGCCCCGAA
Molecule: ribosomal RNA, 654 nt
Filed under: uncultured archaeon
Lineage: Archaea
Description: bacterial SSU rRNA
Rfam family: Archaeal small subunit ribosomal RNA
Source: RNAcentral